ACAAAAUCUAUGAUUAAGACAGUAUUUUUAGUCGAUGUGCUAAGAGAAUCCUUGUUUGCUGAAAAAGGAAGACUAGAUUAAAAAGAAAAUCACUUAGGAGAUGGCUUUUUGAAAUAAGUAGAAAAGCUCGCGGAUGCGGCGUUAAUGCUAUAAUGAGGCCUUGAUAAGAUACAUCAAGGUGAAUUUGGGUGGUACCACGUUUAAAUGAAAUCACGUCCCUGCA
This 223-nucleotide non-coding RNA is filed under the name Helcococcus kunzii. Its description in RNAcentral is "T-box sequence". It matches the Rfam family "T-box leader". From Rfam's summary of the family: Uncharged tRNA acts as the effector for transcription antitermination of genes in the T-box leader family. T-boxes are found upstream of many aminoacyl-tRNA synthetase genes and some amino acid biosynthetic genes usually in Gram-positive bacteria. The record is from RNAcentral. Lineage: Bacteria; Bacillati; Bacillota; Tissierellia; Tissierellales; Peptoniphilaceae.